RNAcentral lists this unclassified non-coding RNA (341 nucleotides) under soil metagenome. Its description in RNAcentral is "partial contains 5.8S ribosomal RNA, internal transcribed spacer 2, and large subunit ribosomal RNA". The stretch from base 3 to 119 matches the Rfam family "5.8S ribosomal RNA", at positions 38 to 154 of the family's 154-position model. The record is from RNAcentral.
GAGAAGAACGCAGCGAAAUGCGAUAAGUAAUGUGAAUUGCAGAAUUCAGUGAAUCAUCGAAUCUUUGAACGCACAUUGCGGCCAUAGGUAUUCCUUUGGCCAUGCCUGUUCGAGCGUCAUUUACACCCUCAAGCCUAGCUUGGUGUUGGGCGUCUGUCCCGCCGUUUUCGCGCGCGGACUCGCCUCAAAGUCAUUGGCGGCGGUCGUGCCGGCCCCCUCGCGCAGCACAUUUGCGCUUCUCGGAGGCCCGGCGGAUCCGCGCUCCAGCAAGACCUUUCACGACUUGACCUCGGAUCAGGUAGGGAUACCCGCUGAACUUAAGCAUAUCAAUAAGCGGAGGA